AGAUCGCCAGAUCGUUGAGCUGCAUUGGCGGGAUUUCGCCGUCUUCGUUUCUCUUUCUUCGCGGACGAACACGCGCUGGGGCUGCAGGCUUGCAGAUCCCUGGUCCUUGACUGGAUAUGCGUUAGGGGCUUGUAGCUCAGUUGGUUAGAGCGCGCGCUUGAUAAGCGUGAGGUCGGAAGUUCAAGUCUUCCCAGGCCCACCACUUUCAUCGAGUGUGCAUUCGUCUUCUGGUUACGGGGCCAUAGCUCAGCUGGGAGAGCGCGUGCUUUGCAAGCAUGAGGUCGUCGGUUCGAUCCCGUCUGGCUCCACCAGAUGGUUUGAUCACCGAGAUCUUGUACCGUCGUCCGCGAAACAUCACUUCGCACUUGCUAGUCCGGAUGGACAGUAAGCUGCGUGAUUUCUGACAUCGUAAAGAGGAGAUCGAUCCGAGUUGGAUCGUGCGGAGAAUAUCUGCGCGAUACUUCAUUAUCUCCGGAUCAUUUCGGCGCUCGCGCGCCUUUCAGUGUAGCUCACAAGGCUGCGGCUGAGAGACGGGCGAGUUGUGAAUGAUCCUUUUAGCGAAGCUUGACCGCCUCGCUAUCGGAACGAUCUUACGAAGCAAGCUGGUCUUUCUAGUCAAUGUCCGGCUGCAGAUAGCGUUCAUCGAGGGCGCGUGCCGCAAGGUAAUUCUGCAGACAACAUUCUGCCGAGUGUGUGGACAUUGAUAAUGAGAGCAAUCAAGUGCCUUAAGGGUGUUCGGUGGAUGCCUUGGCGCU
Molecule: transfer RNA, 755 nt
Filed under: Bradyrhizobium liaoningense
Lineage: Bacteria; Pseudomonadati; Pseudomonadota; Alphaproteobacteria; Hyphomicrobiales; Nitrobacteraceae
Description: partial contains 16S-23S ribosomal RNA intergenic spacer and 23S ribosomal RNA
Rfam family: tRNA (bases 126-199)
Source: RNAcentral